GACGAACGCUGGCGGCGUGCUUAACACAUGCAAGUCGAACGGAAAGGCCCUGCUUUUGUGGGGUGCUCGAGUGGCGAACGGGUGAGUAACACGUGAGUAACCUGCCCUUGUCUUUGGGAUAACUUCAGGAAACUGGGGCUAAUACCGGAUAGGAGCUCCUGCUGCAUGGUGGGGGUUGGAAAGUUUCGGCGGUUGGGGAUGGACUCGCGGCUUAUCAGCUUGUUGGUGGGGUAGUGGCGUACCAAGGCUUUGACGGGUAGCCGGCCUGAGAGGGUGACCGGCCACAGUGGGACUGAGAGACGGCCCAGACUCCUACGGGAGGCAGCAGUGGGGAAUAUUGCACAAUGGGCGGAAGCCUGAUGCAGCAACGCCGCGUGCGGGAUGACGGCCUUCGGGUUGUAAACCGCUUUCGCCUGUGACGAAGCGUGAGUGACGGUAAUUGGUAAAGAAGCACCGGCUAACUACGUG
Molecule: ribosomal RNA, 468 nt
Filed under: uncultured bacterium
Lineage: Bacteria
Description: partial 16S ribosomal RNA
Rfam family: Bacterial small subunit ribosomal RNA
Source: RNAcentral